UACUUCUCCCAUUCCCUCAGGAUCUCUUUUUCCAAUGCUCUCAUCCUUUCUCAAGCUGUAGUAAGGAGUGAUGGUAUGAAGAAGGCCAGGGCCGCCAUGGAUGUAAUGUCAAUAUAUCUCUACCUGAAUAUCUUCAUGGCCAGGAGGAGAUUCCGGUGGAACAGCUGAGGGAAAGGAAGCAUUGUUGCUUAUCUGCAAGAUCAGUCUAGCAGUCGCCUGAGAUUGUCCAUUUUGACCGAUCUUUCGUGAAGAAAUAACUCCAGAUUUAGCUGCUUUAGAAGAAUCACUAUUCUCAACUGAUGAUAAGAACUCUGUAAGAUUUGUCUGUGACAUUGCUAUGACAUUACUGAAUACACCAGAUUCUCUGAGUCCUUGGACUAUGACCAUUGGAGCAUAAAUGCGGGUCAAAAUGCCCUUUCUCAUGAGUUUAAUAUUUAGUGAUUUUUCAGUCCACACAACACGUUCCCGGUACCAGUGAAGCAUUUCCUCUUCCGUUGCAGUUGAAGCAAUUAUGAAUGCAGCUCUGUCAAAUUCCAA
Molecule: unclassified non-coding RNA, 537 nt
Filed under: Hevea brasiliensis (rubber tree)
Lineage: Eukaryota; Viridiplantae; Streptophyta; Magnoliopsida; Malpighiales; Euphorbiaceae
Source: RNAcentral